GGUAGGAGAGCGUUCUGUACGGAGUGAAGUCGUAGCGAAAGCGGCGGUGGACUGUACAGAAGUGAGAAUGCCGGAAUAAGUAGCGAGAAUUAAGUGAGAAUCUUAAUGGCCGAAAGUCUAAGGUUUUUGGAGGAAGGUUCGUCCGCUCCAAGUAAGUCGGGAGCUAAGGUCAGGCCGAAAGGCGUAGCCGAUGCACAAACGGUUGAUAUUCCGUUACCGUCUACAAUUUAAACAAGGGGACACAUACAAAGCGUUUAACCCGGGCGAUGGUUGACCCGGGCGCAAGGGACUGAAAUUAGAGUAGGGAAGUAAAUGUAGCGUAUGGCGAGAAAAGCUUUGUGUAUAGAAGUAGACGCCCGUACCGCAAACCGACACAGGUGGACAGGAAGAGAAUUCUAAGGCCAGCGGGAGAAGGGUAGUUAAGGAACUCGGCAAAUUGACUCCGUAACUUCGGAAUAAGGAGUGCUCGAAAGAGCCGCAGAGAAUAGGCCCAGGCGACUGUUUAGCAAAAACACAGGUCUCUGCCAAAUCGAAAGAUGAAGUAUAGGGGCUGACACCUGCCCGGUGCCGGAAGGUUAAGAGGAGGAGUGCAAGCUCCGAAUUGAAGCCCCGGUAAACGGCGGCCGUAACUAUAACGGUCCUAAGGUAGCGAAAUUCCUUGUCGGGUAAGUUCCGACCCGCACGAAUGGUGUAACGAUCUGGGCACUGUCUCAACUACCCACCCGGCGAAAUUGUAGUACCGGUGAAGAUGCCGGUUACCUGCGGCAAGACGGAAAGACCCCAUGGAGCUUUACUGUAGCCUGAUAUUGGGUUUCGGAAAUCUAUGUACAGGAUAGGCGGGAGACUGGGAAGUAUGAGCGUCAGCUUAUACGGAGUCAUUGUUGGGAUACCGCCCUUAGGUUUCUGGAAUUCUAACCUGCGACCGUGAAUCCGGUCGGGGGACAUUGUCAGGUGGGCAGUUUGACUGGGGCGGUCGCCUCCGAAAAGGUAACGGAGGCGCUCAAAGGUUGGCUCAGCACGGACGGAAACCGUGCCUCAGAGUGUAAACGCAAAAGCCAGCCUAACUGCGAGGAUGACGGUCCGAGCAGUAACGAAAGUUGGAGUUAGUGAUCCGGCGGUAUGUGAAUGGAAAUGCCGUCGCUCAACGGAUAAAAGCUACCCUGGGGAUAACAGGCUGAUCUCCCCCAA
Molecule: ribosomal RNA, 1188 nt
Filed under: human gut metagenome
Description: bacterial LSU rRNA
Rfam family: Bacterial large subunit ribosomal RNA
Source: RNAcentral